UGGGGAAUAUUGCACAAUGGGCGCAAGCCUGAUGCAGCCAUGCCGCGUGUGUGAAGAAGGCCUUCGGGUUGUAAAGCACUUUCAGCGAGGAGGAAGGUGGUGAACUUAAUACGUUCAUCAAUUGACGUUACUCGCAGAAGAAGCACCGGCUAACUCCGUGCCAGCAGCCGCGGUAAUACGGAGGGUGCAAGCGUUAAUCGGAAUUACUGGGCGUAAAGCGCACGCAGGCGGUUUGUUAAGUCAGAUGUGAAAUCCCCGGGCUCAACCUGGGAACUGCAUUUGAAACUGGCAAGCUAGAGUCUCGUAGAGGGGGGUAGAAUUCCAGGUGUAGCGGUGAAAUGCGUAGAGAUCUGGAGGAAUACCGGUGGCGAAGGCGGCCCCCUGGACGAAGACUGACGCUCAGGUGCGAAAGCGUGGGGAGCAAACAGAUUAGAUACCCUGGUAGUCCACGCUGUAAAACGAUGUCGAUUUUGGAGGUUGUGCCCUUGAGGCGUGGNUUCCGGAGCUAACGCGUUAAAUCGACCGCCUGGGGAGUACGGCCGCAAGGUUAAAACU
RNAcentral lists this ribosomal RNA (555 nucleotides) under uncultured bacterium. Its description in RNAcentral is "partial 16S ribosomal RNA". It matches the Rfam family "Bacterial small subunit ribosomal RNA", at positions 355 to 901 of the family's 1533-position model. The record is from RNAcentral.